This is a long non-coding RNA of Oxyura jamaicensis (ruddy duck), 1328 nucleotides long. RefSeq lists it as uncharacterized. Lineage: Eukaryota; Metazoa; Chordata; Aves; Anseriformes; Anatidae. The transcript is spliced from 6 exons. The record is from RefSeq and is a predicted model, not a curated record.
AGGUGAUUUUCCUUGUGAGACUAUCAAUGAGUCGUCUCCCCUGAGAUUAUGUUCACAGCUGUGUAGAUGUAUUAAAGGGGGGUUUCCUGCCCCCCAGAAAUUCCUGAUGCUAGUGUUGCAGUGCUCUGUGAAUCACAAAAUAAGCAUGGCCAGAUGUUGGGUAUGUUUAUUCCAACCUGGCUGUCUAUAGCAGCAACCCAGAAAGCAACUGGGGUGGUCUUUGGCCUACAAGGAGUCAAAGUUUCUUCUGGAUUUAGGGAAGUCUGCAAAAAGCAACCUGUUUUCUGCUGGAAUUCUAACACAACCCAGAAGUUCACCUUGAAGUUUACAUGUCAUUAUGACCAACUACCUGCAAGCCCACCCUGCUGUGAAGUGGGCUGGUAGAAAAGUGCAGAGUGAAAGAAAAGGCACUGAAUCCUCCUCUGACAUACCAGCUUCUUCUCCUGGAACUGUAGCUCGUUCUGUCGGGCACACUUGCCAAGAGCCAGUCCACAUCUCGCAUAUUGAUGUGCUGUUGAAAUGACAGCUCCAGCUUUCACACGCUGGUGCACUGUAGUCGCUGGGGAGUUUCCCUGUUCUUGUUCCACUAUUAGGUUUCAAACCUCCCUGCUGGGUAGCUGUCCUCAAGUCACAUCAGGAGGACAGAGUGAGAAAACUCAUGGCUGCAACAUGAAAAUGAUGGGCUGAAGCCUGGAUGAGUGCUGCAAAUGGAGCAAGGAGCUGGCAAUUCAUGUGUUGCAGCCCAGCAUGGUCCCAUCUGAGUCUGAUUAAUAAGAAUCCUGGCUUUCAACUCCAAUGUGGCCUUGGGUAACUUCUUAGAUUAAUAUAAAAGCAAAAAAAAAAAAAAAAAAGACUUGAAAUAUGUAUGGAUGUCAUGUCAGGAUAAUUCAGGUAUCUGCAUAUGGACCUCAACUGAACUUCGAUGUAAGUUCAUUAUUUAUCAAAGAAGCCUAGGAAAGCUUCACAGUCAAGAUAGGAUGACAGUGUCAUUCUUAAGUAGUCACCUUUGAAGCCUUGGAAGCCCACCCUCAGUAACAAAAAAGUGAAUGCCCUGCUAGCUGCAAGUAUUAUGUAAACCACUUUAUCUUAACUAUUUUUGCUAGGAAAGCUCUUUAUUCUGCUAGGUAAAAGAGUAGGCAUGUUGUCACAGCACAGCUAAAUCCCACAGCUUAUUACCAUGAAAUAUAUGAGCUUAGAGGAUAUGAAAGUGUUCCAUCCAAGAGGAUAUGAAAGUAGUCUGCCUGGAGAGAGUUCAAGGCCUUUUGUAUAAAGAAAACAGUUCCAGGCUUUAAAGCUGUAACGUGUCAGGAUUUCAAAAAAGGCAGUUC